GAUGAACGCUGGCGGCGUGCCUAAUACAUGCAAGUCGAGCGAACAGACGAGGAGCUUGCUCCUUCGACGUUAGCGGCGGACGGGUGAGUAACACGUAGGUAACCUACCUAUAAGACUGGGAUAACUUCGGGAAACCGGAGCUAAUACCGGAUAAUAUUUCGAACCGCAUGGUUCGAUAGUGAAAGAUGGCUUUGCUAUCACUUAUAGAUGGACCUGCGCCGUAUUAGCUAGUUGGUAAGGUAACGGCUUACCAAGGCAACGAUACGUAGCCGACCUGAGAGGGUGAUCGGCCACACUGGAACUGAGACACGGUCCAGACUCCUACGGGAGGCAGCAGUAGGGAAUCUUCCGCAAUGGGCGAAAACCUGACGGAGCAACGCCGCGUGAGUGAUGAAGGUCUUCGGAUCGUAAAACUCUGUUAUUAGGGAAGAACAAACGUGUAAGUAACUGUGCACGUCUUGACGGUACCUAAUCAGAAAGCCACGGCUAACUACGUG
This 497-nucleotide ribosomal RNA is filed under the name uncultured bacterium. RNAcentral describes it as "partial 16S ribosomal RNA". It matches the Rfam family "Bacterial small subunit ribosomal RNA", at positions 28 to 507 of the family's 1533-position model. The record is from RNAcentral.